CCCCCCUCGCGGCGGGGUCGGGCGCGCGGCGGCGCGCGGCGGGAAACGGGCGGCGCGCGCUCGCUGAGGGCUGAGGCGGGCCUGGUCCUGAGGGGAGAAGCGGCGGGACGGGAGCGGGAAUGGAACGAACGCCAGGUCCUCUUCAGCUCCAUGCAGCCCAGAGGUGUCCAGGUCACCACAUCUGCACUGUCAGUGGGUGUUGGGCUGGGUGACCUUCAGAGGUUCCUUCCAACAGGAUUUUUCUAUGGCUGCCUUCAGGAGCUUGGCUACAUUUGACAAGAGGAACAUCUAAUGGCACUGAAUUACAGAAAGUUCUUGAGAUGGGCUGCCUGUUAUCCAGGAAGGCCAUGCAUUCAUCUGACCUCAGCACAGCCUUUAAAGUGUAGGACUAAAGAAAAGAGUAAAACAACGAGAAAAUAAAUUAUUGCACAAGACAACAAAUGGAAACAAAAUCAUUGCAAGAAGAUACCAGACAGGACACCUCUGGCAGUGCCCAUCACUUCCUGAGGGAGUACUGGCUACUGGGUGAAUCCAGUUUUGGGACUGGUUUAAGAAAAUCAGCAUGGCAUUGGAAAACCCACCCAGCAGUAUUGUAGCAGCUGCUGAUUAGCAAGCCCUGGAAAGUGGCAGCCCAUGGUGUAGUCUCCAGCAAGGUAUAGGAAUUGUGCUCAUAGGAAGAGCUGUUUCCCUCAAGCUUUUCAGAAAUUAGUUAGCUCUUCACUGCCUGAGUAGGUGCAAAGGGUUUACAGGUGUAUUUAUUAUCCCUAAACAGGCUAUAGGAAGAGUUUUUAAUUUUUACUAGUUUACCUGAAGAUUCUUUUAUUCCAAGGCUUCACGACCUCUGCUCCAAAGUCUAGCACAGUUAGCAAGCAGGAGUAAGACAGAUCGCUGAAAGGCAAUCACUUCUUUUCACGGUGAAAAUUACCAAAUAUUCCAAUGAUUCAUACUUUCAAGUAAAACCAAAAUAUACACAUGCAAAAUUUCAGUAAUUGAACAUCAACAUGUCAUCAUGAAUUCAUUCUCAGUACCACUGAAUGCCAAGACAAUUCUUGAAUAUCCUGAAAUGAGCACCUUAAGAGCUGAAAUAGACUCACCUGCUUAAUUAAUUGCUACCUUUGUUUGAUAAGGAGUGUGGCAAUUUGCAGAUAGCAAUAUUUAUACAAGAAAUGCCAGGGGUUUCAUUGUGCUGCCCACCUCUCUACCCACCAAACCCACCUGGAUUAUAAUCACCACCUUCAGACAACGCCUGUUGCACACACAAAUUUCAUUCAUUCAAGUGCAUUGAUUUGGAGAUAUUUUUGCUUCCUAGUUUCUUUUUCCCCCCCAAGAUUUAUUUCAGUAGCUAUUACAGACAUGGCAUUUUAUUCUGAGAAGGAUUGUAUUUGUAUUUAUUCUUCGAGCUAAGUGCUUUGUUUAAUAUGCUUGUUGUAAAUAAACUCUAUUACCCCUUGUGGUAAAAGACCACAA
Long non-coding RNA from Haemorhous mexicanus (house finch), 1467 nucleotides. RefSeq lists it as uncharacterized. The record is from RefSeq and is a predicted model, not a curated record. NCBI's taxonomy places the organism in Eukaryota, Metazoa, Chordata, Aves, Passeriformes, Fringillidae. The transcript is spliced from 2 exons.